RNAcentral lists this ribosomal RNA (502 nucleotides) under Russula sp. GL-2009a. RNAcentral's name for it is "eukaryotic LSU rRNA". The stretch from base 102 to 255 matches the Rfam family "5.8S ribosomal RNA". Lineage: Eukaryota; Fungi; Basidiomycota; Agaricomycetes; Russulales; Russulaceae. The record is from RNAcentral.
CACCGCGUGGGUCCCCCUUUGCGGGGAGGGCCCGCGUUUUUCACAUCAAACUCGAUACAGUGUAGAAUGUUUAUUUUUGCGAUAUCAUGCGCAAUCAAUACAACUUUCAACAACGGAUCUCUUGGCUCUCGCAUCGAUGAAGAACGCAGCGAAAUGCGAUACGUAAUGUGAAUUGCAGAAUUCAGUGAAUCAUCGAAUCUUUGAACGCACCUUGCGCCCCUUGGUAUUCCGAAGGGCACACCCGUUUGAGUGUCGUGAAAUCUUCAAAACCCUUUUGUGGGAUUUUGGACUUGGAGGUCUAAUGCUUGCCUUUGAUUUCAAAAGCGAGCUCCUCUCAAAUAAAUUAGUGAGGUCUGCUUUGCUGGUCCUUGACGUGAUAAGAUGUUUCUACGUUUUGGAUUUGGCACCGUCGCUCGCUUCUAACCGUCUCAUGGACAACCGAUGGCGCUCCGGUCACCGCCAUCAACGUUGGCGGGAGGCUUGGCCCACGAAAGAAAAACCU